RNAcentral lists this ribosomal RNA (449 nucleotides) under uncultured bacterium. Its description in RNAcentral is "partial 16S ribosomal RNA". It matches the Rfam family "Bacterial small subunit ribosomal RNA", at positions 29 to 523 of the family's 1533-position model. The record is from RNAcentral.
AACGAACGCUGGCGGCAUGCCUAACACAUGCAAGUCGAACGAGAUCUUCGGGUCUAGUGGCGCACGGGUGCGUAACGCGUGGGAAUCUGCCCCUUGGUUCGGAAUAACAGUUGGAAACGACUGCUAAUACCGGAUGAUGACGAAAGUCCAAAGAUUUAUCGCCAGAGGAUGAGCCCGCGUAGGAUUAGCUAGUUGGGGUGGUAAAGGCGCACCAAGGCGACGAUCCUUAGCUGGGCUGAGAGGAUGAUCAGCCACACUGGGACUGAGAAACGGCACAGACUCCUACGGGAGGCAGCAGUGGGGAAUAUUGGACAAUGGGCGAAAGCCUGAUCCAGCAAUGCCGCGUGAGUGAUGAAGGCCUUAGGGUUGUAAAGCUCUUUUACCCGGGAUGAUAAUGACAGUACCGGGAGAAUAAGCUCCGGCUAACUCCGUGCCAGCCGCCGCGGUAA